CCUACGGGAGGCUGCAGUGGGGGAUAUUGCACAAUGGGGGGAACCCUGAUGCAGCGACGCCGCGUGAAGGAAGAAGUAUCUCGGUAUGUAAAAUUCUAUCAGCAGGGAAGAAAAUGACGUUACCUGACUAAGAAGCCCCGGCCAACUACGUGCCAGCAGCCUCGGUAAUACGUAGGGGGCAAGCGUUAACCGGAUUUAAUGGGUGUAAAGGGAGCUUAAGUGGCAGUGCAAGUCAGAAGUGAAAGCCCGGGGGUCAACUCCGGGACUGCCUUUGACACUGUACCGCUUGAUUGCAGGAGAGGCAAGUGGAAUUCCUGGUGUAGCGGUGAAAUGCGUAGAUAUUAGGAAGAACACCAGUGGCGAAGGCGGCUUGCUGGCCUGUAAAUGACGCUGAGGCUCGAAAGCGUGGGGAGCAAACAGGAUUAGAUACCCCAGUAGUC
Molecule: ribosomal RNA, 440 nt
Filed under: uncultured bacterium
Lineage: Bacteria
Description: partial 16S ribosomal RNA
Rfam family: Bacterial small subunit ribosomal RNA
Source: RNAcentral